CAUCCCAGCAGCAUACUACCCUGAAUCCCAUUGCUGGCUUACUUCUGAAGCUAAGCAGGGUUGGUCCUGGUCAGUCUCUGGAUGGGAGACCACAUGCUGCUGGAAGUUGUGUUGG
Hucho hucho (huchen) is the source of this 115-nucleotide ribosomal RNA. Lineage: Eukaryota; Metazoa; Chordata; Actinopteri; Salmoniformes; Salmonidae. The record is from Ensembl.